RNAcentral lists this transfer RNA (73 nucleotides) under Paramuricea clavata. It matches the Rfam family "tRNA". Rfam says of the family: Transfer RNA (tRNA) molecules are approximately 80 nucleotides in length. Their secondary structure includes four short double-helical elements and three loops (D, anti-codon, and T loops). Further hydrogen bonds mediate the characteristic L-shaped molecular structure. tRNAs have two regions of fundamental functional importance: the anti-codon, which is responsible for specific mRNA codon recognition, and the 3' end, to which the tRNAs corresponding amino acid is attached (by aminoacyl-tRNA synthetases). tRNAs cope with the degeneracy of the genetic code in two manners: having more than one tRNA (with a specific anti-codon) for a particular amino acid; and 'wobble' base-pairing, i.e. permitting non-standard base-pairing at the 3rd anti-codon position. The record is from Rfam by way of RNAcentral. Lineage: Eukaryota; Metazoa; Cnidaria; Anthozoa; Malacalcyonacea; Plexauridae.
GCCUCUGUAGCUCAGUUGGUUAGAGCGCUGCACCGGAAUCGCAGGGCCGCAGGUUCGAUUCCUACCAGAGGAC